UACAGAGGGUGCGAGCGUUAAUCGGAAUUACUGGGCGUAAAGCGUGCGUAGACGGUUAAGUAAGUCAGGUGUGAAAGCCCCGGGCUCAACCUGGGAAUUGCAUUUGAGACUGCUUAGCUAGGGUGGCGGAAGAGGGAAGCGGAAUUUCCGGUGUAGCGGUGAAAUGCGUAGAUAUCGGAAGGAACAUCAGUGGCGAAAGCGGCUUCCUGGUCCAGCACCGACGUUCAGGCACGAAAGCGUGGGGAGCAAACAGG
RNAcentral lists this ribosomal RNA (254 nucleotides) under uncultured bacterium. RNAcentral's name for it is "partial 16S ribosomal RNA". It matches the Rfam family "Bacterial small subunit ribosomal RNA", at positions 524 to 776 of the family's 1533-position model. The record is from RNAcentral.